This 492-nucleotide ribosomal RNA is filed under the name uncultured bacterium. RNAcentral describes it as "partial 16S ribosomal RNA". It matches the Rfam family "Bacterial small subunit ribosomal RNA", at positions 29 to 507 of the family's 1533-position model. The record is from RNAcentral.
AGUGAACGCUGGCGGUAGGCCUAACACAUGCAAAUCGAACGGCAGCACAGUAAGAGCUUGCUCUUACGGGUGGCGAGUGGCGGACGGGUGAGGAAUACAUCGGAAUCUACUUUUUCGUGGGGGAUAACGUAGGGAAACUUACGCUAAUACCGCAUACGACCUACGGGUGAAAGCAGGGGAUCUUCGGACCUUGCGCGAUUGAAUGAGCCGAUGUCGGAUUAGCUAGUUGGCGGGGUAAAGGCCCACCAAGGCGACGAUCCGUAGCUGGUCUGAGAGGAUGAUCAGCCACACUGGAGCUGAGACACGGUCCAGACUCCUACGGGAGGCAGCAGUGGGGAAUAUUGGACAAUGGGCGCAAGCCUGAUCCAGCCAUACCGCGUGGGUGAAGAAGGCCUUCGGGUUGUAAAGCCCUUUUGUUGGGAAAGAAAAGCAGCAGGUUAAUACCCCGCUGUUCUGACGGUACCCAAAGAAUAAGCACCGGCUAACUUCGUG